RNAcentral lists this ribosomal RNA (433 nucleotides) under uncultured bacterium. Its description in RNAcentral is "partial 16S ribosomal RNA". It matches the Rfam family "Bacterial small subunit ribosomal RNA", at positions 29 to 507 of the family's 1533-position model. The record is from RNAcentral.
AACGAACGCUGGCGGCAUGCCUAACACAUGCAAGUCGAACGAGACCUUCGGGUCUAGUGGCGCACGGGUGCGUAACGCGUGGGAACCUGCCCUUAGGUUCGGAAUAACUCCCCGAAAGGGGUGCUAAUACCGGAUAAUGUCUUCGGACCAAAGAUUUAUCGCCUUUGGAUGGGCCCGCGUUGGAUUAGCUAGUUGGUAGGGUAAAAGCCUACCAAGGCGACGAUCCAUAGCUGGUCUGAGAGGAUGAUCAGCCACACUGGGACUGAGACACGGCCCAGACUCCUACGGGGAGCAGCAGUGGGGAAUAUUGGACAAUGGGCGAAAGCCUGAUCCAGCAAUGCCGCGUGAGUGAUGAAGGCCUUAGGGUUGUAAAGCUCUUUUACCCGGGAUGAUAAUGACAGUACCGGGAGAAUAAGCUCCGGCUAACUCCGUG